CGGGUGAGUAACACGUAAACAACCUGCCUUCAGGAUGGGGACAACAGACGGAAACGACUGCUAAUACCGAAUAAGUUCCAAGAGCCGCAUGGCCCAUGGAAGAAAAGGUGGCCUCUACCUGUAAGCUAUCGCCUGAAGAGGGGUUUGCGUCUGAUUAGCUGGUUGGAGGGGUAACGGCCCACCAAGGCGACGAUCAGUAGCCGGUCUGAGAGGAUGAACGGCCACACUGGAACUGAGACACGGUCCAGACUCCUACGGGAGGCAGCAGUGGGGAAUCUCCCGCAAUGGGCGAAAGCCUGACGGAGCAACGCCGCGUGAGUGAUGACGGCCUUCGGGUUGUAAAACUCUGUGAUCCGGGACGAAAAGGCAGAGUGCGAAGAACAAACUGCAUUGACGGUACCGGAAAAGCAAGCCACGGCUAACUACGUGCCAGCAGCCGCGGUAAUACGUAGGUGGCAAGCGUUGUCCGGAAUUAUUGGGCGUAAAGCGCGCGCAGGCGGCUUCCCAAGUCCCUCUUAAAAGUGCGGGGCUUAACCCCGUGAUGGGAAGGAAACUGGGAAGCUGGAGUAUCGGAGAGGAAAGUGAAAUUCCUAGUGUAGCGGUGAAAUGCGUAGAGAUUAGGAAGAACACCGGUGGCGAAGGCGACUUUCUGGACGAAAA
This 660-nucleotide ribosomal RNA is filed under the name uncultured bacterium. RNAcentral's name for it is "bacterial SSU rRNA". It matches the Rfam family "Bacterial small subunit ribosomal RNA", at positions 103 to 739 of the family's 1533-position model. The record is from RNAcentral.